This 232-nucleotide long non-coding RNA is filed under the name Callithrix jacchus (white-tufted-ear marmoset). Its description in RNAcentral is "lncRNA (ENSCJAG00000080543.1)". Lineage: Eukaryota; Metazoa; Chordata; Mammalia; Primates; Cebidae. The record is from RNAcentral.
UCUUUUUCAGAGGAAUUAUAAAGAUCAAGAUGAAUUCAGUGAAUCUUCCCAUAGGACUGUUCAAAGAUCUUCAGGUUUUCCCUUCACUCUUUCCUUGACUUCCACCAUGAUUGUGAGGCCUCCCAGCCAUAUGGAACUGUAAGUUUGUUUUUCUUCCCAAUCUCAGGUAUGUCUUUAUCAGCAAAAGCUUUUAGCUUGAUAAAAUCUCUUUUGUCUAUUUUUGCUUUUGUUG